This is a long non-coding RNA of Aethalodelphis obliquidens (Pacific white-sided dolphin), 947 nucleotides long. RefSeq lists it as uncharacterized. The transcript has 4 exons. The record is from RefSeq and is a predicted model, not a curated record. NCBI's taxonomy places the organism in Eukaryota, Metazoa, Chordata, Mammalia, Artiodactyla, Delphinidae.
CGGCCGGUUGCGCGCGCCAACCCGGGACUAGCGGCCGGGCGCCCGUCGCUACAGGUUUGGGACCAGGGGCCAACUACCGGGGGCCCCUAGGCUGAGCCUCUGCCAGAAUUUUCUUCCGAAGUUAGAUAGUUGUCUAACUUGGCGGCUCUGCCACAGGCACUGGAGAUGCAACAAUAAACAAAUGAGAAGUGGUUGGCAUGGAGAUGAUACUCCAGUGGAGGGAGAUUUGCCUGUGGAGAUGGCACUUUCCAAAGUUGGCCACAUAUUCUUCUAGAACGUUGCCUCUUCCUCAUCAAAAGGUGACAACUUUGACUGCUGUUAGCAUUUAUUUUUUCAUACCAAAUCCUCUUCAUUCCUGGUUAUGAAACUUGACCAAGAGAAGUGUCUGCUUCUGGACCUUUUUCCAUUUAGUCAAGUCAGCGCUGGAGGGUGCUUUUUGUCAGAAGAGUGUGUCUUCAGUCACCUAUAUUAAUUAACCCAGCCCCUCAUUUCAAGUAUGAAUGGGCAACAGCUAGCCACCAGACGUUUCUGCAAAAGCAACAGCAAAAUUAAGAAGGACCAAGAUGAACAAACAGGAACAAAACAAAACAAAACACACCAGAUAUAAUUCAGGGAACUGAAAGUGCUGACUGGCCUCCUCUAAAUCCAUGUGAAUAUUGAAACCCCAAGACGGGACUCAGACAUGCAUUCUUGGAAGGAAUAUACAGAAGUGAUGCUGUCUUCUCCUCACUGCAUCGCAUCAGGAGGCUCGUGACAUUGACCAGUUCUACUGCUGGUAAUAUUAAUCUCGAUCACUUGGUCAGUUCAGUGUCUGCCUGGUUUCUCCACAUUAAGUCAUUAUUUCCCUUUUUGUAAUUGAUAAGUAUUUUAUGGGAAGAUACUCUCAAACUAUGCCAAUAUCCUACAUUUCAUUAAAUCUCUAUUCAUUUGAUUUAUUAGACAUUGGU